CAGGAAGAGUAGCGUUACUAUGGCAACCCUGACAGGUUUGUGAGCAGCCCCCGGUCCCCUGCCGCUCCGUGAGAAAUCAAACUUCAGGCACUGACGAAGCAUGAAGCCAGCAUCUUAGGAAGAGGCACUUCGGGACUACAAUCCCAGCAUGACCCGGGCUCGGGGACGGGGCGCAGUUCUCGUGGGAGGAGCGGGGCGGUGAGAGCCUGGCUAGGCAGGCUGGAAACAGUAGCUCUUAACGGUCCCCCGCCCGUUGGUGGCAAGGCGGCUGGACUGGAAUCCCAGCAGGCGACAUGCGAGGAGGCGGGCAGCCCAGGAGGGUUGGACACGGCAAUGUGGACCUCGCCGCUUCCACAACGAUGCUGGCUACUGAUCGCGUGCACUUCCUUGCCAAAGAAAAGAAAUUAAUGUUAUGACUGGAUGAAGACAAUUGUGAAGAAACUGCACUUUGAGGUUGUCUAUCUCUGUAUUCUGAUGGAAAAGCGUGGAGUUUAGAAGCACUGCUCACUCCUUCAGUUUCUAACAAGUUUGAGACUAUGGUUAGGUGGUGAGGAAGGCAGGCUCAGCACCCAAGCCUUGGGGAGACGCAGAAAGGGCCCAUCCCAGGCACUCAGGUGGAGCAGGUGGUCUGUCCUAGAGAACGUUCCAUGUGGAUUUGAGAAGAAUAUAUAUUCUCAUGUUGGAUGCAGUGCUGUGCAUAUGUUUGUUAGGUUUAGUUGUUUUAUGUUGUUGUUCAUGUUUUCUAUUUUUUAUCUUCUGUCUACUUGUUCUAUCCAUUAAUAUAAGUGAAGCAUUAAAGUCUCCAACUAUUACUGUUGAAUUAUCUAUUUCUCCCUUUAUUUCUGUCAUUUUUGCUUCAUG
RNAcentral lists this long non-coding RNA (861 nucleotides) under Homo sapiens (human). RNAcentral's name for it is "HSALNT0341146". Lineage: Eukaryota; Metazoa; Chordata; Mammalia; Primates; Hominidae. The record is from RNAcentral.